GAUGAACGCUAGCGGCAGGCCUAAUACAUGCAAGCCGAACGGCAAGUUGAGUAGCAAUACUUGACCUAGAGUGGCGUAAGGGUGCGUAACACGUAUGCAAUCUGCCCUCAACAGGAGGAUAGCUCCCCGAAAGGGGAAUUAACCCUCCAUGGGAUCUUAGAGUGGCAUCACUUAGAGAUUAAACCGCAAGGGGUUGAGGAUGAGCAUGCGCAUGAUAGUUAGUUGGCGGGGUAACGCCCACCAAGACGAUGAUCAUUAGGGGAACUGAGAGGUUGAU
This 277-nucleotide ribosomal RNA is filed under the name uncultured bacterium. RNAcentral describes it as "partial 16S ribosomal RNA". It matches the Rfam family "Bacterial small subunit ribosomal RNA", at positions 28 to 304 of the family's 1533-position model. The record is from RNAcentral.